UUUCAGUUUAAGUUUUGACCGGAGUGGGCAAGCUCCAGAAUUCAGCCUUUUAUCAAGUAUCAUAUUUUUCAGGAACAUAACUACAACGUUAAGCGAGGAAUUACUGUACUGCAAUGUUGUAUGGUAGUGAAACAUGGGUGCUGACAGAGGAGCAGCAACUGUUGUCAUGGAGAGGGCGAUGGAAAGAAGAAUUCUGGGAAUUUCAAUCCACGACCGAGUCCCCAAUGAAGAGAUCAGACAGCAGAGUGGAGUGCUGAACGUCGUUGUUGAGAGCAGGCAUAGUAAAAUGCGAUAGGCGGGCAUAUAGUGAGGCUCACUGACAAUCGAUGGACUAGCAGCUGCACUCGGCCAAACUCCAAAGAGAUGGGAAGAUGUUACCAUGAAAAGACAUGGCCGCACAUGGAGAAGGAAGGCCAUGAUACAAGAAGAAUGGAAGACGUGUUGUGAUUGGUGCAAUCGAGACGAGGGCUGAAGGACCAAUCGAUCAAGGUGAUCAAGGUGAACUUCUAGUAAUGAGUAGUCUCAGAAACGUGUUUUGGAAAUUUAAUGAAACAUCUAUAUACAGAAGGAAUACUGCUAAUGUAAUGUGUGGUUUGGUAUUUAACUGCAUUUCUAUUAAAUUUUAUCUCAAACAAGUUUCUACAGAAUUAUUUACAGAACAUUGUACAACGAUCAGCUAUAUUACCAACAUGUUGUGAAAUAAAAAUGGAUAUGACCAUUCUUUCAACAUAGCUUUCCUGACAUAGUUCUCAGGAAAUGUUUAACAACAAGACCUGUAAAAAUGAUUUAGUGUUCAAAGUAUUAUACAAAUUAUUUUGACAA
Chrysemys picta bellii (western painted turtle) is the source of this 822-nucleotide non-coding RNA. The record is from RefSeq and is a predicted model, not a curated record. Lineage: Eukaryota; Metazoa; Chordata; Testudines; Emydidae.